Molecule: long non-coding RNA, 968 nt
Filed under: Mytilus galloprovincialis (Mediterranean mussel)
Lineage: Eukaryota; Metazoa; Mollusca; Bivalvia; Mytilida; Mytilidae
Source: RNAcentral
UGUCGAAAAUAUCAUUGCUAGAAGAAGCAAAAGAUAACAAAGAAAACACAUUCGAUAUAAAAUGCGUCAAUGACCGAUUGUCAAAUAUGGAGAGCGAUGUCGAAGAGUUACAAUGGAGAUCAAUGACUAACAAUAUCAUUAUAUCCGGAUUAAAGCACGAGUCAAAUGAGGAUACAGAGAACAUUGUAAGGGAUUUUAUUCGCAAAAAACUCGGAAUCGUUGAAAAUAUGAAUUUCGUUUCUGUACAUCGUUUCGGAAAGCAAAGACAAAAUAUAAUGACUAAGUUUGUAUCUUUGAAAGAUAAACAGUUAGUCAUGAGGAACUGUCACAAAUUAAAGGGGACAAAUAUUUCUGUCCGCACACAAUUUCCUGUAAAAAUUGAAAAGAAGAGGAAAAGCUUAUAUCCUGUUUUAAAGCAGGCAAAGAAAGACCGAAAGAAAGCUGUUUUGAUAAGAGAUAAACUUUUCAUAGAAGGAGAAUUGUACAAAACAAACGAUGACAGAGUAUCAAAAAACAUGGAUCGCAAGGAAAUACCGAACAGAAACAGCCAAUUUUUUGAAGCCGAUAAAUUAUCGGAUAAAUGUCCAUUAAUUAAUUCGACCCGACCCAGUGAUUUUAACUCAUGGAAUCGUCCGAUACCAAAUCUGCGGGAAAUGCUGAAGCGGAAUAGAAUUAAUUCUGACGAACCUGAUACGUAAUUUAAAGCCUGGCCUAUACAAAUUAGUGCGAAGUGCAUGAACUCUAUCAAUAAUCUAUCUUGAAAAAAAUUAAUUCUACGCUAGUACUAUCCUAAACUUAUUUCACAGAUACUGAAAACUUCUUUUUCACCCGUAGUGAUAAAAGAUUUGCGUUAUUUUUUAUUUGUAAUAUUUAUUGAGCAAUUUUUUUUUGUAUACUACAUAAUGCUGCUCUUGUUGCACACAAUAUGUGCCUGAGUGUAUUAAUAAACUUGUCUUGUCUUGUCUUGU